Long non-coding RNA from Entelurus aequoreus (snake pipefish), 706 nucleotides. RefSeq lists it as uncharacterized. The record is from RefSeq and is a predicted model, not a curated record. NCBI's taxonomy places the organism in Eukaryota, Metazoa, Chordata, Actinopteri, Syngnathiformes, Syngnathidae. The transcript has 3 exons.
GAGCCAAGAUGGCGGCCCCAAUUGAUGAGAGUAUGAGAAAACAUAUCAUUAUCGCCUUACUUAACACUAAGAGUGACGCCAACGUCCUCUGAAAUGUAGUUGGCUCGCUCGCCUGUUUAAAAGUUCUUCCAUUAUUCACGAUGCGACAGUCGCGCUGAAUCACACUCAAACAAGAAGCGCUUUUUAGCCUGCUAGCUGACGUUAGCUCAACGGCGGAAGCUAACAUGAGCAGUCCGGCAGGGGCCACGCUCUCGCGGUGACGUCUCAGCGAAUUAAGCAAUUAGAUAGAAAAUACAAAUAUGGUGCAGGUUACAAAUUGUUGAAGACAAGACGUGGAAAAAGACGUUUCUAAUGAGGAACGAAACGCCAUAAUUGGACAGAUAAGUUUACAGGCGGGUUGAAAACAAACCCUUGUCAUGUGACCUGCCAUGGCGCCACUGCUGUCAGGAGACAACCAUCACAACACAGAUGUUGUUAAGGGAUCCCACACAUAGGCAGACGGCCAGCAGCCCACCGCGUUAGCCACACACGGCGGAGAGGGCGGGACAUGAGACCAUCUCAGACAGGCUGCCUAGCAACCGGAGCAGAACAGAGAUUGCAGUGCCACAGUAUCGGCCCUGGAUCACAUUUCACUGAGGCAGCAAGCGAGCAAGAGAAGGAAUGAAAUAGAGAUGGAUAUGUAGAAGCAGGGUGGGAUGGAUGGACA